Long non-coding RNA from Mesocricetus auratus (golden hamster), 1142 nucleotides. RefSeq lists it as uncharacterized. NCBI's taxonomy places the organism in Eukaryota, Metazoa, Chordata, Mammalia, Rodentia, Cricetidae. The transcript is spliced from 4 exons. The record is from RefSeq and is a predicted model, not a curated record.
GCUGGUUGGUCUUUGUCAACUCAGAUAUAAACUGAAUCAUCUGAGAAGAGGGACCCUCAAGCUAAGGAAUUGCCUCUAUCAGAUGGGCCUGUGGGCAAGUUUGGGGGCAGUUUUCUUGAUUAGUGGUUGAUGUGUGAGGACCCAGCCUGCAGGGGGUGGGGCCAUCCCUGGGCAGGCUGUCCUGGGGCUAUAAGAAGGCGGGCUGACCAGGCCAUGGAGGAGCGAUGCUUGCUCUCCGAGGGCAUUUGUCCUGUUGCUCUGCUUCUGUUGUCUGGCAGUUCCUUCUUGAGUUUCUCCCGUGGCUUCCCUGGGUGAUGGAUUUACUGCGUAUUACCUGUUCUUAAACACUGAGGAGGAAGAGAGAGAACCCCAGGAGGAACUUCACUAGUUCACUAGUUCAUAGGGAAGAGCUUAAUUACCUAUGCAGGCACUUUAGGAGCAUAAAAGUCUUGUCAAGGUGACAGUCAAUAUUAACCAUCACCUGCCUCAGCCCCGAAUAAGGACCUGGGGACAUCGGCGCCGUAGGAGAAAAGCCUGAGACGUCACUGGCUGAGGGGCCUGGUCCCUGGAGUGUGAUGGGCAUGAGGCCAGAGAGGAUGAAGACAAAGGAUUCAGGAUCCCAUCCUCUGGGAUGCUGCUGCCCACAGUUAAUGCGGGUCUGCCCACCUCCACUAUGAUCACCCAGCUCAUCCUUCACAGACAGGCCCCGAGGCUUGUCUGCUAGAUUCUGUCAAGUUGACAAGUGACAUUAACCAUCACAGGCAGCAAGUACAAGCUGGGAAGAGCUCAAGGACAAGCCUUCACCUUCAUCUGGAGAACCUGGCUGUGCUUUGCAAGGGGACUCUGAUCUGUCACCAAGAGGGAGGAUGGCAAGACAGUGUGUGGCUGAGCAUCAUGGGAAGGUGGGCUUUGGAAUCUGACAGCUUUGCUGUCUUAUACCAGCAGCCCACUUUGGAGUCCUACGACCUUGGAUCAGACUGUGUUUUCUUCAUCUUUAAAAUUAGAAAUAUUAUACUCUCAGAUGUUUGUAAACAUUUGAAAUUUAAUAACAUCUAUUUCCCGAGGUCAUUGCAAUCUUUGAGGCUCUCUGAUGCAUGUGUUCACAUGCCUUGACACACUGAUUAAAAACAUGAGGCAAAGUA